GGGNUUAGAUACCCCACUAUAAGGAGCUCAACAACACUCCUCUAAGUANUAAAAUCAACAGGANUAAAANUUAAAGAGCAUGGCGGCUAAUUCAACCUUCAGGGGAACUUACCCAAUAAUAGAUAACCCCCAAGAAAUUCUACUUACAUUUAUAAAGUUUACAUAUCGCCGUCACAAGGAGUGACUUAAGGUUUCUCCAAUAAUCAAACAUCUGCUAUAGGACAGGUCAUGACGUAGCUAAUAAGUAAGCUAGGGCGAGUUACAAUAAACUUUUUUUUCAGAUUUUCUAAAUGAAAAAUUUUAAGAAAUGAAGAUGGACUUGAAAGUAAUAAUUAAAAAUAUAUAGAUUUUGAAUUAAUAUUUUAAAUGAAAUAGUGCACACNCCGCCCGUCNCCC
This 396-nucleotide ribosomal RNA is filed under the name Microtralia occidentalis. RNAcentral's name for it is "partial 12S ribosomal RNA". The record is from RNAcentral. Lineage: Eukaryota; Metazoa; Mollusca; Gastropoda; Ellobiida; Ellobiidae.